This 1512-nucleotide ribosomal RNA is filed under the name Peptostreptococcaceae bacterium canine oral taxon 110. Its description in RNAcentral is "bacterial SSU rRNA". It matches the Rfam family "Bacterial small subunit ribosomal RNA". The record is from RNAcentral. Lineage: Bacteria; Bacillati; Bacillota; Clostridia; Peptostreptococcales; Peptostreptococcaceae.
GAGUUUGAUCCUGGCUCAGGAUGAACGCUGGCGGCGUGCCUAACACAUGCAAGUCGAGCGAGAACUUAUGUAAAGAAACUUCGGUAGAUUUACAAAAGGGAAAGCGGCGGACGGGUGAGUAACGCGUAGGCAACCUGCCCCAUACAGGGGGAUAGCCACCGGAAACGGUGAUUAAUACCUCAUAAAGCAUAGAUAACACAUGUUAAAGAUGUCAAAGAGAAUUCGGUAUGGGAUGGGCCUGCGUCUGAUUAGUUAGUUGGUGAGGUAACGGCUCACCAAGGCGACGAUCAGUAGCCGACCUGAGAGGGUAGGCGGCCACAUUGGAACUGAGACACGGUCCAGACUCCUACGGGAGGCAGCAGUGGGGAAUAUUGCACAAUGGGCGAAAGCCUGAUGCAGCAACGCCGUGUGAAUGAAGAAGGCCUUAGGGUCGUAAAAUUCUGUCCUAAGGGAAGAAAAAGAUGACGGUACCUUAGGAGGAAGCCCCGGCUAACUACGUGCCAGCAGCCGCGGUAAUACGUAGGGGGCAAGCGUUAUCCGGAAUUAUUGGGCGUAAAGAGUACGUAGGUGGCUAUAUAAGCGCAUGGUGAAAGGCAGAGGCUUAACCACUGUUAGCCUUGCGAACUGUAUAGCUUGAGUGCAGGAGAGGGAAGCGGAAUUCCUAGUGUAGCGGUGAAAUGCGUAGAUAUUAGGAGGAACACCAGUGGCGAAGGCGGCUUUCUGGACUGUAACUGACACUGAGGUACGAAAGCGUGGGGAGCAAACAGGAUUAGAUACCCUGGUAGUCCACGCCGUAAACGAUGAGCACUAGGUGUCGGUAUCGUAAGAUAUCGGUGCCGAAGUUAACGCAUUAAGUGCUCCGCCUGGGGAGUACGCACGCAAGUGUGAAACUCAAAGGAAUUGACGGGGACCCGCACAAGCAGCGGAGCAUGUGGUUUAAUUCGAAGCAACGCGAAGAACCUUACCAGGACUUGACAUCCCUCUGAAAUCCCGAGUAAAGUUGGGAGUUCUACGGACAGAGGAGACAGGUGGUGCAUGGUUGUCGUCAGCUCGUGUCGUGAGAUGUUGGGUUAAGUCCCGCAACGAGCGCAACCCUUGUCAUUAGUUACCAGCGGAUAGAGCCGGGGACUCUAAUGAGACUGCCGUGGAUAACACGGAGGAAGGUGGGGAUGACGUCAAAUCAUCAUGCCCCUUAUGUUCUGGGCUACACACGUGCUACAAUGGUCGGUACAAAGAGAAGCGAGCCUGUGAAGGUAAGCAAAACUAAAAAACCGAUCCCAGUUCGGAUUGCAGGCUGAAACUCGCCUGCAUGAAGAUGGAGUUGCUAGUAAUCGCAGAUCAGAAUGUUGCGGUGAAUGCGUUCCCGGGUCUUGUACACACCGCCCGUCACACCAUGGAAGUUGGGGGUGCCCGAAGUCGGUUAGUAAAUAUACUGCCUAAGGCAAAACCAAUGACUGGGGUGAAGUCGUAACAAGGUAGCCGUAUCGGAAGGUGCGGCUGGAUCACCUCCUU